This 1161-nucleotide long non-coding RNA is filed under the name Nothobranchius furzeri (turquoise killifish). RNAcentral's name for it is "lncRNA (ENSNFUG00015024571.1)". Lineage: Eukaryota; Metazoa; Chordata; Actinopteri; Cyprinodontiformes; Nothobranchiidae. The record is from RNAcentral.
AUGUUUCCCAAACCAAGCACAACCUCUCCGCUCACAGACCUGUCACGGGCUAGGGUAGAGUCGCUACCAAUCCCCUCCGCACCGCCUUCUCAGCACGAGAGCGGGGACCAACCAGCAGUGAGGACUUCAUCAUUACACGGCGGCUCAGAGAGCUCAGCGAAUGCGCGCUCUGCCUUCAAAAGGCGCCUUCUCCCUGCUGUGACUGCUGCAAAUCUGCACAAUGACGAUUUGCCGCAUUUAUUACAACCACCAAAACGAGCUGUCAUCUAUGAUCACCGCCCGUCUGCGCAUGCUUCGGAGCUUUUCCCACUCUCGCGCACUGGGGUUCCUCCGCAUGCGCCUGACGCGCAGCAGCGCUCUCCACGCUCGCCGGCACCACACAAACAACCUUGUCCGUUUGUGAGGGAACCGACGUCGACUGAGACACAACUCCACGACCGGCCCUUUCCCAGCCGGCUCCCCAUGGGUCACUCCCGAUAUUCCUUCGGGUCAAGCAAUGGCGGUAGGGGCCCAGACCCACAUUUUGGACGCGUUGCAGGCCCAGGCGCCGUGCACGCGCCCACUGUCAGAGCACGCCCACGACUGGAGCUGCGUGUGCCACAUGACCAAGUGGAUUCGGGACAUCAUUCGCAGUGCCCACAGGCUGCAGUUUCAGUCCCUCCCACCCCUGUUCUCAGGGAUUGUGGAGACGACAUUGACGUCAGCCCCUCAUGCUGCCGCCCUCAAGGCGGAGUUGAGGGAACUCCUGUCGAAAGAGGCCAUCUCCGAGGUUUCGCCAGGGGAGGAGAACACAGGUUUCUACUCCCGUUAUUUCCUGGUUCCCAAGAAAAAUGGUGGCUGCAGACGGAUCCUCGAUCCGUCUCUGUUCAACAUCUUCGUAGCAGUGAAGCAUUUCCGGAUGCUCACGAUCAAACAGGUGUUGGAGUACGUGCGCCCAGGCGAUUGGUUAACGUCCAUAGACCUGAGGGAUGCAUACUUCCACGUUCCGAUUGUUCCGAAGCACCGGAAAUUGCUGCGCUUCUCAGUCAGCGGGACUCAGUAUCAGUACAACAUACUCCCGUUCGGAUACUCCCUAGCCCCACGCACCUUCUCCAAGUGCCUGGCGACAGCGCUGCAGCUGUUACGUACGGCGGGCUUGAGAAUCCUGUUCUAUUUAGAUGA